AGCAGCCGCGGUAAUUCCAGCUCCAAUAGCGUAUAUUAAAGUUGUUGCAGUUAAAAAGCUCGUAGUUGAAUUUCGGGAUCGACGGGUCGGUCGCGCCUCUGGUGUGUACUGGCCCUGUCGGUUUCUCCCUUCUGACGAACCACGAUGUCAUUAAUUUGGUGUCGUGGGAAAUCAGGACUGUUACUUUGAAAAAAUUAGAGUGUUUAAAGCAGGCAUUCGCUUGAAUACAUUAGCAUGGAAUAAUGAAAUAGGACGUUUGAUCUUAUUUUGUUGGUUUCUAAGAUCGACGUAAUGAUUAAUAGGGAUAGUUGGGGGCAUUAGUAUUCAAUUGUCAGAGGUGAAAUUCUUGGAUUUAUUGAAGACUAACUACUGCGAAAGCAUUUGCCAAGGAUGUUUUCAUUAAUCAAGAACGAAAGUUAGGGGAUCGAAGACGAUCAGAUACCGUCGUAGUCUUAACCAUAAACUAUGCCGACUAGGGAUCGGAUGAUGUUAAUUUUUUAAUGUACUCAUUCGGCGCCUU
RNAcentral lists this ribosomal RNA (520 nucleotides) under uncultured Glomus. RNAcentral's name for it is "SSU rRNA". It matches the Rfam family "Eukaryotic small subunit ribosomal RNA", at positions 569 to 1089 of the family's 1831-position model. The record is from RNAcentral. Lineage: Eukaryota; Fungi; Glomeromycota; Glomeromycetes; Glomerales; Glomeraceae.